GACGAACGCUGGCGGCGUGCUUAACACAUGCAAGUCGAGCGGUAAGGCCCUUUCGGGGGUACACGAGCGGCGAACGGGUGAGUAACACGUGGGUGACCUGCCCUCAGCUCUGGGAUAAGCCUGGGAAACCGGGUCUAAUACCGGAUAUGACUCCAUGACGCAUGUUGUGGGGUGAAAGCCUUGUGCGGCCGAGGAUGGGCCCGCGGCCUAUCAGCUUGUUGGUGGGGUGAUGGCCACCAAGGCGACGACGGGUAGCCGGCCUGAGAGGGCGACCGGCCACACUGGGACUGAGACACGGCCCAGACUCCUACGGGAGGCAGCAGUGGGGAAUCUUGCGCAAUGGGCGAAAGCCUGACGCAGCGACGCCGCGUGAGGGAUGACGGCCU
Molecule: ribosomal RNA, 386 nt
Filed under: uncultured bacterium
Lineage: Bacteria
Description: bacterial SSU rRNA
Rfam family: Bacterial small subunit ribosomal RNA
Source: RNAcentral